GACCCAGUGGUCAAGUUUGGUUAAGACAUAACAUUUUCACUGUUGAAACGGGAGUUCAAAUCUCUCCUGGGUUA
Molecule: non-coding RNA, 74 nt
Organism: Lasallia pustulata
Lineage: Eukaryota; Fungi; Ascomycota; Lecanoromycetes; Umbilicariales; Umbilicariaceae
Source: Rfam